UACAGAGGAGCCAAGCGUUGUCCGGAUUGACUGGGCGUAAAGCGCACGCAGGCGGGGGCGCGCGUGGGGGGGGAAAUCUGGCCGCUUAACGGCCAGGCGCCAUCCCAUACGGCACGCCUGGAGCCUUGCAGAGGUCGGUGGAAUUGCCGGUGUAGUGGUGAAAUGCGUAGAGAUCGGCAGGAACACCCAGGGGGAAACCAGCCGACUGGGCAAGUGCUGACGCUGAGGUGCGAGAGCGUGGGGAGCGAACCGG
RNAcentral lists this ribosomal RNA (253 nucleotides) under uncultured bacterium. Its description in RNAcentral is "partial 16S ribosomal RNA". It matches the Rfam family "Bacterial small subunit ribosomal RNA", at positions 524 to 776 of the family's 1533-position model. The record is from RNAcentral.